GGGUGGGGCUGUCACAAAUUGGAGCCUGUAUCCCUUGGAUACAGGCUCCAAUUUGCUCGCCACAGCUGAGUGUUGUUUGCCAGUGGACCUAAAGGUGCUUCCGUGUAAACACUGCGCAACACCGGCUGAGGGAUCUGCUGUUCCGCUACAACUGCCAGCUGCGCUCGUCCCAGGUCUGCUUCUUCCACAGAAAAAAGCAGCCUGCUGUGUUAGAGCAGGAGGAUCUGCUGGUGGAUGGCAGUUUUCCAGAGAGCCCUGUAAUCGGCUCCUGUCUUCUUGGGCUUCUUGUCAGGCAGUUGAUCAGAUGCUGGGGAUAAAAGACGCCUAAAAGGGUCCAGACUUGGGUCUGGAGCACGGGGAGAUAGAGGCAGCAGCUCCGUGGCAUCAGAGUCGUCUACAAAAUGUAAAAAUGCAGAUGGCUUAUUCAUGGGUGACGCGACCCGCAGGAAGAUCUUCUGUCUCCAGGAGACCCUGCGUGGAGUCAGAGGGAGGCCUCCGCUCAGAGAGUCAUUGCUGCAGCUUGACAGCGUCCUUUUCCUGCCUUCUC
Molecule: long non-coding RNA, 547 nt
Organism: Girardinichthys multiradiatus
Lineage: Eukaryota; Metazoa; Chordata; Actinopteri; Cyprinodontiformes; Goodeidae
Exons: 3
Source: RefSeq, a predicted model, not a curated record